Molecule: long non-coding RNA, 9651 nt
Filed under: Nicotiana tabacum (common tobacco)
Lineage: Eukaryota; Viridiplantae; Streptophyta; Magnoliopsida; Solanales; Solanaceae
Description: long non-coding RNA (NTAB_LNC008954)
Source: RNAcentral
AAACACAAUCACGUAGUAAGGGGGUCCACGUGGUUUGGAGACAUUUUCUUCCUCUCCAAGCUAAGCACUCAAUUUUUCCAGGAUAUAACCCCACACAGAGAAUAAAAUGAAGGGGGAAACAAUUAGAAGAGCAGCAACGAGUGGGGAACGGGAAUUGAACAAAAAACCAGAGGGGAUAGAGAAGAGUCAAACUGAGAGGAAUAGAGUGAGAGGGGUGACGGAAGAAACUCUAACAGGGCACUAGACACCAAGGAAGUUAGCACUCAAAUUUUUAGUUUCUUUUCUCUUAAUCUCGUCGAGCUUCACAGUAAUUUAGCUACCCUUCUUCAUCAACGGACAUCCACAUAACUCCUCUCCAUUGUUUCCAAAUAUCUCACUACCAUGUGAACUAGGAAUACCUUCCUCCGAUUUUGCUUCACCAAAAUAAAACUACAUCACCACCUUGAAUCCUAUAUUAUUAUCUCGAAUUUUCUCUGAUUGGUAAAAAGUUUCUGUCAGUUGAGCAAAAUUUUUGAAGUUGAGAUUUGGGGUGCUCAGAUCUGAGAGACAAAGAGGUCUCGGGACAGUCCGUUUUGGUGCUCGAGUUUUUUCGGUUCCGACUCCUGUUCGUACCACUAUUGCUGUAAUUGCUCGAGGUCCAUUCUAAACAUUCCCUUUCGUUGUUAUAUUCUAUCACAUUGUGAGGUGUUUAUUUUGCUUUUAAUCUUACUGUUUAUUGAUUUCUGGUUGUGUUAGCAUGUGUUAGAUGUAAUUUAUUUUGUGAUAUUGAAAUCAGAUUUGUUUAUAAAGAGAUAAGGAUGAUAUAAUAGGCUAUAUUGGCUUUUAGAAGAGUAUGACGGAUAAAAAGAAAGCUUUAGUUUAAUUAAUCAUUGGGCCGUGGGGUUUUGGGAAUUAAUUGUUAAGAAAAAAAGAGCAUGAAAUGAAUUCCUCUGUUAUUUAAUUUCUUUUUAUUUAGUUUAUUUCUUCAUAUUAUCCGCUAGUAGCAUGUUUAGGCCGAUCACACUUGGGUAGUCAAGCUUUAGGACUUUUGUUUAAAUUUUGAGGCAAGAGGUUGUUCCCCUUAGUUUAUUAUUUUAUUCGGGGAAUGUCCCGAGGAUUUUGUAUAUAUUUUUAUCCGGGGUAUGCCCCAUAGUGAAUGUAAUUAGAGGCCAUGACGUACAUCGUGAAGUGAGCAUAGUAUAGACUUUUAGUAUUUUCACUCUUAUUUAAUUUUCUUUUCUCUUAUUUAGAUGGAGACAACCUCGAGCCUCUUGUAUGUUUAUUUUUAUUUCGUGUGUUUUUUCCUCAGUUUGAGUUUUCUUAAAAGCCAACUAGAUCAUGUAUGCAACUGUGACUUUCACGGGACUUGGGGAAUGCCUAAUACCUUCUCCCCGAGUCAAAUGAACCCCCUUAUCUAGAAUCUCUGGUGCAAACUGGUUUAGAGUCAAAUAUGUUUUAAGGAAAAAUUAUUUAUAAAUGGUGACUUGGCACACCGAGAUUAUAUGUCAAGUGGCGACUCUGAGAAAAUCCCUUUUAAACAAUCAUUUUGUCACUUUCACGAUUGAAAACCCUUUGAGCUUUAAAAUCACUUUAUAUCUUUUAAAGAGGGUUAGUGAGGUGAAAUAUAGGGUGUGACAAUUGGGACUCAAAUCCAAUGUCUCACCCUCAUAAAGGCAUGUUAAGCCAUAAUGCAUUGGGACUCAAACCCAACGUCGUUUCAUCAUGAUGCACCAGAACUCGAAUCCGGUGUCUGAACACCUCUUCCGAAAUAUUACUACUUCUGAUGCAAAUUCGAGGCAUGUAACAUAGAGAAUAGUUCUCUAGCAUGUCUUAAUCAAUAAUAAAUUUAGUAUUUGAACAUAUUAUCACUUUUAAUGAUCAUAACACCAAUCAGAACUAACAAUACUUUGAACAUAUAAUUAUUUAAUUUAGCUGUUAUAUGCAUAAAUGCUUAGUCAUAAUGAGCCUUUAUGAAAAUAUUAAUCAUCACUCUAAUGGUUAUAUAUUUCUUAUAAUUCUGUAGGCAAAUGAAAAGGACUAUGUAUCACCUACCAUUAUGGUUUGAAGAUGAAGAGUAAGUGCCAAGAGAAUUGAGAGAAUGAACCCAUAAGGUGGCUUUAUAUACUUAGUGGGUAAAAUUAUAUUUUUGUUAAAGUUUAUUGGGCUAUCGGUUAAACCGUUAAUAAAAUUGGGCAAAUCGAGACCCGAACUGAUAACCCAAUAGUCAAAUAAUAUUAAACCGUUAUCGAACUAUUUACCUAAUAACCCGAUAUCGAUAAGCCAAUAGUAUUUUACUGGUUCGCGCUAUCGGUUAUACCCAAUAUAUGCCCCGCCCUAUCCGAAACUUACCCGAGCCACCCGGGACCCCGUUCAAAUGAAACAACAAGUCCAUAAACAUAUUAUGGAUCUGUUCGAACUCUCGGAACACGUAAAACAACAUCAAAACUAAGAAUCGCAUCCCAAAACCCAAUUAUAUCAAAUUAUGAACUUCAAGCUUUUCAACUUACUUCGAACGCACCGAAUCAUACUUAGACUACUCAGAAUGAUACCAAAUUUUGCGUACAAGUCAUAAAUCACCAUACGGAACUAUUCUCAGGCUCAGAAUCCCAAGCGUAUCUCGAUAACACCAAAGUCUACUCCAAACCAAAUUCAAAGAACUUGAAAACCUUCAAUGCGCCAACUUCCACAUUAAGUGCCGAAACUCUCCCGGAUCAUCUGAAACCCGAUCUGAACACACGUCCAAGUCCAAAAUCAUCAUACAAACCUAUUGGAACCGUCAAAUCCCAGUUCUGAGGUCGUUUACUAAGAGAGUUUAUUCAAGUCAAACUUGGCCAUCUUAGGCCACUAUUAAGUAACCAAGUAUUCUGAUUUCAACCGGAACCCUUUCAAACCCAGGUCAACCACCCCCGCAAGUCAUUAAAUAAUAAAAGCACAUAUGGAGAAUCUUAAUUUGGGGAAUGAGGACCUAAAAAGUAAAAUGACCUGAAUACCAUAGUGAAUCUUUAUUCAAGUCAAACUUGGCCAUCUCCACAACCUGCUCGUAAGGAGGCCAUAGUGACCUGAAUACCAUAGUGCAAGCCCACAAUAAACCUAUUCACUUGCUCUGCAUCGGUGGGGAGUAUCAUAAGUUCAUGGCGAGACAACUCAGAGAACCUUGCCUCAUAAUCGAUCACAGACAUCUGACCCUGCUGGAGUCGCUCGAACUGACCCCGUAACACUUCCCUCUGAGAGGGUGGGAUAUAUCUCUCCAGAAAUAGACGAGUGAAUUGGUCUCAAGUCAAAGUAGGAGAACUUGCUGGUCUGCUAAGAAGAUAGGACUGCCACUAUCUACGGGCCUUGCCCUCUAGCUUAAAAGUGGUAAAGUCCACCCCAUGGGACUCCAAUACUCUCAUGUUGCUCACCGCCAAAAGCAGGAGGAUGUAGCCUGGUCCAUUUAUCUAAUAGCUUAUGCGGCUCGCCGGGUGCGACUGGUUUGGGAUCUAGGGUAGCCGUUGCAACUAGCUGAGCCACGCCCACGGGUAGUGCACUCGGGGUCUGAUAUACGGCAGCAGUAUGCCCUGGAGCCUGAGCGGUAGGGGUAUGUGAUCCCCAUCCUGCCUGAGAUGUGGCUGGGUCUGCUGGAAAUAAACCAGCAUGCAUCAUAGAGUCCAUGAACUGUAGCAUACAGCCCAUGACCUCCUGGAAACCUGGUGCGGACAUGAAAUCUGUUGGGCCGGCUCAGAUGCAGGUACCUCUCCCUGCUCUUCAAUAACAAGAUCAUCCACUAGAUCCACUGGUGGUACAGCUGGAGCAACUCUAGGACGCCCUCGAACUCUGGCAUGAGCUGGAGCCCUCCCUCGGUCUCUAGCAAUAGGGGGAGCAGCUCCUCCAUGGCCGAGUACAACUGUCGCGCCCGUUCUCAACAUCUGUGAGAGAAUAAGAGAAAGAUACUUAUCACAACAUCAAUUACACGAUAGGAGAUGAAGAAAGAGAAGUUUUCUAACACCCUAUAGCCUCUCGAAUAUAAGUACGGACGUCUCCGCACCGAUCCACAAGAUUCUAUUAGGCAUGCUCAUGACUUAUGAGACCUAUGUGAACCUAGAGCUCUAAUACCAAGCUGUCACGACCCAAUUUCCCCUAUAGGCCAUGAUGGCGCCCAACAUCAUCACUAGGUAAGCCAACGGUGAACUAGCCAUGUAAUUGUUCUUUUCAAUAAUUUCAAAGUAGUUGAUUUUAUUUAUUAAGAGAAUUUUAGUAGGAAAUUAUAGCAAAGUAAAUCAUAAACUAACGAAAGAGUAAAUAUAGUGAAUUUAAUACUCAAAACCAUAAAGUGUCUUCUAGAUUAUUCCCAAAAUCUGGUGUCACAAAUGUAUGAGCAACUAGUAGAAUAUACAAAAUCUUAUAUACUACUGUCUGGAGUAAGAUAGACAAAAAAUAAAUAAAAUAAGAGAGACUACGUGCUCUGCAGGACGGACACAGAGAGCAGCUCACCACUAAGCCUUGGGGUAACGGGGAUACGCACCUGAAUGACCGCCAGAUGCACAUGCCGCAGAUCCUGCACGAUUAGUGAAGAAGUAUAGCAUGAGUACAUAAACAACAUGUACCCAGUAAGUAUCUAGUCUAACAUCGAAGAAGUAGUAACGACGGGUCGACAUCGACACUACUAAGGGCCAAUAAAUAAAGUACAUACAUUCUAAAUAGGCAUGGAAUACAUUAAUAAUAGUAAUAACGCAAUAAUGAACAAUAAAUAAGUGGUCCUUUAAUUAGAUAUCAAUUAAGAUCCCCAACUAACACGUACUAACUUCAACAAAUAAGAGCCAUUAAUGUAAAUUUUAAUUUCUCAAGUCAUGGAAGUAAUAUUGAGUAAAAUCGGACUCUGAGCAAUAUCACGCACGAUUUAUGCUGAGGUCGUACGGCCCGAUCCAGAAUAAUAUGUACGUUGCCGAGGGUCGGCCGGCCCAAAUCAUAGAUGCAUUUAUUAUACUGCCAAAGUGCUCUGCCCACUCCACAAGAAGAGAGAAUACUCUACGAACUCCGAUCUAAUGGCUACUACAAGACUAAUACACCAGAAGGCACAAUUUCUACUAACAGUCAAGUAACCCGCCAAAACUCAAAGUAAUGAAGUUCGGUUCGUUGCGAAUCCUUUAUCAAGUAUCAAUAUAAUUUAAGCACUUAAGCUAACAAGUAGAGUACAAAUAAUACAAGUAUUACAUGAUAGAGUCCUAAAACUACCCGGACAUAAGCAUGAUUUCUAGCUACAUAUUGACUCUCGUCACUUCGUGCGUACAUAGCAUUCACAAUUAGUAGCAAAUAGCAAUUUAAAUACCUAUGGGGUAAAUUCCCUCUUACAAGGUUAGGCAAGAGACUUACCUCGUUCUCAAGUUCACAUUUCGGUCCACGAAUCACUCUAAAAGCCUGAAGUUAGUGCUGAACAAUCUGAAACUAGACAAAUAUUUUAUAAAUUAAUCAAUAUAUACUCAAAAGUUCAUAAUUUAGCUAUUAAAGUAAUUACCCAACCCGAAUUGAAAGAUUCCUAAAAUUUACCUAGGGGCCUACAUGCCCGGAUUUCAGAAUUUUUGAAGAUAAAUGUUACCCAUAACCUCACGAACCCAAAUAUAUAAUUUUUACUCAAUUCCAUAACAAUUUCGUGGUUUAAUCUCAUUUUUAUCAAAACCUAGGUUUUUCAACAAAAUCCUAAAUUUUUCACAAUUCUUGUUUAAAUUCAUUUGAAUUGGAUAGUUGAUAACUAGCUUACCUGAGCAGGNNNNNNNNNNNNNNNNNNNNNNNNNNNNNNNNNNNNNNNNNNNNNNNNNNNNNNNNNNNNNNNNAGCAAGUGUCUAGUAGAGUCUUGCGGAUCGGAAUGAUGACGUCCAUACUUAUCUUCGAGAGGCUACAGGGCAUUUAGGACAAUUUUCCAUCUUUCUUUCCUUAUCGUGCGGAAUUGAUUCAACAUGAAAUAUAACUCUUUGAAUUCCUUCCACGCAUUCGUGUGCGCAUGUGAGCGUUCGGUAUCAACUAUGUAUCACCGGCUUGUGAUUUUAGGGAUGACAUCGAGAUGUGUAUUUUGUGUUUUGGUGAUAGGUCAGUCUAGAGGACUUGAGACCAGGUUUGGACCAUAGCUUAGGCUCGAUAGCUUCAGUUGUAACUUGUACAUUUGGACUCAUAUGUCUGGUAGUAUCCCUAUGAGUGGAAAAUUUGUGGCUCGAUGAGCGGUCGAAUGGCUAUAUGAUGAGGAUGAUGCGAUUGCAAGAUGUGUUAAGAUGGAUUGAAUGUGACAAGAAGUGUUUACUUGGAAUUUAAAAAGGCCAAUGGGUGCUUGAUUUUCGUUUGAUGUGACGUACAAUCUCGAAUUAUGAGUGUGUUGAAGGAUCUGUCAUAUAGUUUAACUGUGGGGAGAAUUAGAUUUUCAUGUCUUGUUAAUGAGUUUGGACUCAGGAAGAUUAAGUGAUUGCGUAGUAAUUGUGAAUGCGAAGGGGUAUAACAAGAUGCCAAUUUGAGGCUAAGCAGGUGUGUUAUCUCCUGUAUAGUAAUCUACGUAGGUGUGUUCCUUAUAAUGUUGAUUAGAGAGUUCCUUUUCUACCAGCGGGUUAUAUGUGUUGAGAUUUGAAUUUGAAUCUAGUUGAGAAAGUUGACUUGACUAUCAAGAGAAUGAAUGCGAGAUUAGCGGAUGAUUGAGGUAUUUUAUGGUUGGUAUUGCAUGGACAUGAGAAGAAUUUUCGUUGAACUGACUGCGCUAUUAAGGCAGUAAUAAAGUAUGGGUAUUGUGAGUUAUCAAGUGUUUUAAUCUAUGGGUUUGAGCCAAGUGGGGGAGCCUGCUAUUGACAAUUUAAUUUCAUGGUUAUAUGUAAAGGUUUAGUUUUAGGCUGAGGCAUACUUGUUGGUUAGUUAUAACUUGCAGAGGUUGAGAUCGAGGAUGAAUCGAAUAAGGAAAAUCCUGGAUACUGGUUAUAUUGCACUUAUGAAUAUAUGAGAAUCAUGGAAUGAGUGAGUUGUUAUUUGUGAAGGAUGUAGUGCGCAUGCAGUAUGAAUUUGAUUGGUGGUGUUAAGGCAGGGGUACUUCUUUGGGUGUUGUUGUGCUAAUGGGGCAUGUGUCUUUCGGCCCAUUUGGGCGGUGCAAUUGAGAUUUGAGCAGAGUAGAUGACUCUCGAGAAAGUUCUAAUGGAUUCAAGAUUAAUAUAUAGCAAUUGAGAAUUUUUGGCGGAUUUGUUUAUGGCUAAAAUCUGAGAAUUAAAUUGGAUGGUGUCGAGACUUGUGGCAUUUUUGUAUAUCAUUAUGGAUUUUAUAUUUCGGUAUCAGGAAUUGUGAACAUGCGCCUAUGGUUAUCCUCUUCACGAAAUUGAGGAGUUGGUUGUAACAUUGUGGUUGCGGUGGUGCUUGUUGAACUUGCAAUACGGUUAUCUUCCUUGAGACAUCUCCCAUAUUUGGGUACACGGAUUGCGCAGUUGUGGCGAAGUUAUAUUGAUGUGGCGUGUAUGUAGAAUAGUUAUGUUUAAUAAUAGAAGGUCAUUGGACCUAGAAUAGGUACUAUCAGGUUUGAUUACGGUAUAUUUGGGAGGAUAAUAUUGAAAGUCGACUUAGCAAGUGAUUAUGGUUCUGGUUGGGGCGAGAGAACUCUAUGACUUGUUGAUCUAAUAAGGGGUCAUGAGAUUCCGCCUGUUUCUUUCAUUAUCAGCAAUGUACGAAAGAAAUUGUUAGAAGUUGAAAAUUGUUAGUUUUCAUUAGGCUUGGAUUGGAGUGAGAUUUGUAUUUUGAUGUGAUUUGAGGGCUCGACUAAGUUCGUAUAAUAUUUUAGGACUUAUUGGUACAUUCAGACGGGGGUCCCGAGUGGCUCGAAUGAGUUCCGGGGUGAGUUUUGAGUGAGUCCGGGCAUUUCGGCGCUCUGAUGUUGUUCUGGAACUUUUGGAAAUGCGGGGGCACAUUUUUGAGUGCUGAGGCACAAGAAAAGUGCAGACCGUACAAUUCUUCUCGCGGCCACACUUUAGGGUGGUUUGCAGGUUCGAUGGUCCGACUUCGGAGGCUUAUAUCUUUUAAUCUACAACGUAUUUGGAGAUGAUUCAAAAAUAAAAGUUGUAGCCCUUUGAAUCUAGUUUUCCAAAAAGGAAUAUCAACAAUCAUUUGGACAAUUUUACAGAAAGUUAUGGGUAUUUUACUGAAGCCUAGUAGUGCAGAGUUGUUGAAGUGCGACCGCAGCUCGUGGGAUGUGUAACCGCACAAGAAAAUGUGCGGUCAGCACAAUGGGGAUCAGAUUUUGUACUAUAUGAACGAGGGUUUCAUCUUAUUUUUCAUUUUUGAACUCGUAAAUGAAUGGGUUGUCAGAUUUUGUGAGUUUUGUCGAAUUUCGAGACGUGGGCCCCACUAUCGAUUUUUCGAGCGGAGUUCAUAAAUUGUUAAUUUUUAAGUAUUGGAGUAAAUUGUGAUUUAUUUGCACGUUAUUUGAAUAGAUACAGAUCACUGAGGUUGAUACGCGCGGAAUGGAAUUUUCGAAGUAUUGUUUAUAUUGCUCGGCAUUGGAUUCGGCUUGUUCGAGGUAAGUAACUCUUCUAAUAUUAGAGUUGAGUGUAUGAACCCCGAUUAUAAGUGGUAUGUGUUUGGUGUUGAGGUGACGCACAUGCUAGGUGACGGGUGUAGGGGCUUGCACCGUUUGAACUGUGACCCCGUUAUUCCUGUGGUACUGUGUAGUUACCUGAACUUAUCUGUAAUCAUAAAAUCUCUACGUACUAGAGUUAUCGAGUUGUGACUCAUGUAAAAAAUAAUGCUUAGGCAAAUGUUGGUAUUAUUGGGACCCACAGAGGUCAUUGUUAGUGACUUUGAGUGAUUGUGAGGAUUGAGUGACUGUGAGGACUAAGUGAUUGUGAGGACUGAGUUACUGGGAGGACUGAGUAAAAUGAUACUCUGAGAGUAUGCAUAUGGUUUUAUCACUGAGUUGCAUCGCAUUGACAUGCACAUUUGACAUACAGGCAUAGAAAUGCAUUUUCCUCAUAAUGUACGGUAUCACAUCAUUCAUGACUUCUCACACAUAUUGGCAUAUGGGCAUAGUGAUGCAUUUUUCACUGGUUAUCUGGAAAGAAAAUGAAAUAUCUUAUUUAUUGUUGAAAGGAUUUUUGUGAAAAUUAUUGUAUUCAAACUUACUCAUAUUUUUUGAAAUUUCGAUAAAAAACUUGAGUUUUCACUGAUACACUUGAGAGGCAUAACUCUUUUCAGAAAUCAUGAUUAAGCUGAGCAUUUUAUCUCUGAGUUACUUCUUGUAUUACUUGUUUUAUGUUGUUAUGGACUGUUGUUGGCUAUUGGUGUUGGACUCGACCUUUGUUCCAGCUCGUCACUACUUGCAACCUAAGGUUAAGUUUGUUACUUAUUGAGUACAUGGGGUCGGUUGUACUCAUACUACACAUCUGCACCUUGCAUGCAGAUAUUGGAUGCUGAUGUUGAUGGGAUCGACGUGAGCGGGAUUUGGAGACGUACAUGUGUUUCAGUCGUAGCUGCCUCUUAUUCAUGGUAGCCUUAGAGUUAUAAAAAUCUGUUUAUGUACAUUUCGAACAUAUGGUGUAUUUAUUUCAUACCAGCUUUAUAAAUUCUAAUCUUAGAAGCUCAUGAUUUAUACUACCAGUCCUUGAGGAAUGUAUAAGAUUUAGAUUUUAUUUUUUUUACUUAAUUGUCUUGUUUAAUUUUAUUGGAAUUGGAUAGUUGAUAACUGGC